Molecule: unclassified non-coding RNA, 215 nt
Filed under: soil metagenome
Description: partial contains 5.8S ribosomal RNA, internal transcribed spacer 2, and large subunit ribosomal RNA
Source: RNAcentral
AACCAUUCUCACCUGCGGCUAGACCUGCGGAAGGAUCAUUAUGAGUCUAGCACUCUUCAACCCCUGUGAACCAUACCUAUUUUUCCCCGGCGGAACGCCCCGGUGCCCUAGGGGCCGGGCCAGGCGCCCGCCGGGGGCAACCAGACCGUAUUUGUACCCCUAUACCUCAGAAUUAGGCGUAAAGCCGGAAUGUAACAACUUUCAACAACGGAUCU